RNAcentral lists this ribosomal RNA (252 nucleotides) under uncultured bacterium. RNAcentral describes it as "partial 16S ribosomal RNA". It matches the Rfam family "Bacterial small subunit ribosomal RNA", at positions 524 to 776 of the family's 1533-position model. The record is from RNAcentral.
UACGUAGGGGGCAAGCGUUGUCCGGAAUUAUUGGGCGUAAAGCGCGCGCAGGCGGCAUCGUAAGCCCAGUGUUUAAGCUCGGAGCUCAACUCCGAUACGCACUGGGAACUGCGAGGCUUGAGUGCAGAAGAGGAAAGUGGAGUUCCACGUGUAGCGGUGAAAUGCGUAGAGAUGUGGAGGAACACCAGUGGCGAAGGCGGCUCACUGGCUCGUUUCUGACGCUCAGGCACGACAGCGUGGGGAUCAAACAGG